RNAcentral lists this non-coding RNA (931 nucleotides) under Pongo abelii (Sumatran orangutan). The record is from RNAcentral. Lineage: Eukaryota; Metazoa; Chordata; Mammalia; Primates; Hominidae.
GGAUAAAGCAAAGAAAAUCACAUUUAAUACUGAGUGAAUACAUCCUCUUCCCUUCUUAAGAAUUCUGUUUUCUUAUCUAUAAAAUAAGGGAUAAGUGGAGGGAUUAGCUCUUCUCUAAAGUGAUUUCUACUGGAGGAAAUUCAUGGUACUAAGGACUCUGUACCAAAAGCCCUUGCCUGGUACUUCAACGGUGCUUGGAAAAACAGACAGCCUAUUUCUUCUCUUCCCUUUGUGGACUGAGACUUAAAAUUCUUUUGGUGGCCAAGACAGAAACUAAGGCUGGUUUUGGGGUUGCAGAAUGAAGACAGAGAAAGGAGAGGAUAGCAGCCACAAUUUCAAGAGUGACCAUUUAUAUAUUCCAAUCAAAGGGCCAGCCCUGAGAAACUGGGAAGCCAUGGAGGAGGACGGUUAAUAACCAGACAGUUCAGGGAGAGAAUCUUGAACAAGCAUCUGACUGAGGAAAAGGCCUUAGUCGCGGAUGAGUUCUCACUGUGUUGCCUGGACUGGUCUCGAAAUCCCGACCUUAAGUAAUGCUCCUGCCUUGGCCUCCCAAAAUGCUGAAAUUACAGGCGUGAGCCACCAUUCCCAGCCCAGCAGUCUUCAUCUUAAGAAGAAAGCUGCCCAGCAUCAGAGGGGUCAGGUUCCCUUCUAAACAGAAUAUGAUAAUGCUGGCCUGCCAAAACUACAGCUUCCCCUUUAGGGAAGAACUAGUGCAAUUCCAGAGUUCACAACUGCAUUCAGACCUGGCCUACAGAGCAUCUCACACUCACUGUGCUUGUGACAUUCCCUUGUACCAGGCCCUCCACAAAGAGCUGGGAUUUGAAUUCUUUGACGAAGCUCAGCAGAGACUCAAGGGAAAGGCCAUCCAUCAAAGCCUGGUACUUGUCAAUCAUAGACCAACGGGCAUAUUCCAGGAUUAAAAGCCGUACAU